This is an RNA transcript of Oncorhynchus keta (chum salmon), 6282 nucleotides long. RefSeq lists it as uncharacterized. The record is from RefSeq and is a predicted model, not a curated record. The transcript is spliced from 2 exons. NCBI's taxonomy places the organism in Eukaryota, Metazoa, Chordata, Actinopteri, Salmoniformes, Salmonidae.
UGUAAACACCACCAAUUGCGUGAUAUUCGAGGUACCUUAAGCAGAACAUUAUCCUCUCAGAACAGAAAUUCUGUGACUGUCGGCACAUCAACACAACGCGAUCCUCCAAAUGAGAUUUUAUAAGAUCAAGGUACACAUCAAAAUUAGUGUUGUGUGGGUGUGUGCGUGGUGAUGAGUGUGCAUGUGUGUGUGUUUAUAUGUGUGCAGGAGUGUCAGUGUAGGCAUAUGUGACUGUGUGGGUAGAGACCCGUGAGUGGCAAGUAGUCAGUGCAGAUAGACAGUGGGUCAGGCUGGGCAGCCAUUGCCUCGUUUUUCAAAAGUCUCAGUGCCUGGAGUUAUUGGCUGUUCAAAAGUAUCAGUGCUUGGGGAUAGAAGGUGUCUCGGAGCCUGUUGGUCCGAGACCCAAUGCUCCGGUACCGCCUAUAUGAUCCAUGAAUCAGUCCAAAACCAAAGUCCAAGAAGCAAGCUUUUUGAUUUAAAAAAUAAAUAAAUAAAUAAUAAUAAUAAAAAUACAUAAAACAGCUUUUGAUUGAUUGCGACCAAGGUGGGUUUAAGAAAAUUGUUGGAAGGCAUAGCAUAUUUGGGGUAACAUAAACCUAUAGCAAUAUGAUUUUACUAGGAUACUGCCUCACUUUUAAUAAUAGUUUUCACUCUAUAAGCCAAUAUGUAAUUUAUAGGCCUAUAGUGUAUUGCAUUGGAACCAAUGGUGUGGGUAGAGUAGAACGUGUGGCUGGGCAUAUAGAUUCUACAGAUACCAGUGAAGAGUCCCAAUCCCAAUUUUACUUCGGCACGUAGAACAGUUCUCUAUAAACCAAUAUGUAUUUCUUAUAGUGUUGCAUUGGGGGCAUUUAUUUGACCUUGUUGACCAACCCAAAUGAAAUGCAAAUAUCACUUAAUUAUGAACACAUGAGUUAUUGUUUAGACAAUUAUUGCCCAUAUAUCAUGAAUAAAUACAGGUUACGGGCUCUUUUAUACUAUUACGUGAGGAACUUUUAUUUAUUUGGAAUAUUUUCGAAAUUCCGUGACCCAGAAGUACUUUUUUUAUUGUUGCGGACACUUUCUUUUGGAUUAGCAAAUUGUAGCUACACCACCAACAUAAAUACAACAAUUCAUAAAUGUAUUGAGCAACAAACAUCUUCAUACGGAUUAUAACUGCCAGUUCAAUCAAAAAUAAAACGCAGACCGCAAUUUGUGACUGGAUUAAGGCGAAACAAGGACGGAGAGAGAGAGAGAGAGACAAAUAUAGCUACUAGCUAACGUUGCGUUAGCCUGUUAACGCAAGGGCUCAACAGCAAGUUGACAUGAAUUCUCUCGUCGGCUAUAGCGUGUCCUCUGAUUCUGACAGCGAUGGGGAUAUUGUAAACAACAAGAAAUGAGCCCUGAAUUGCACAAAUGCCAGAAAAUAGGACACCGGGGUUAACACGCCUACUCUUACGAUAAGUGCCAUGGGAUCUUUAUGACCUCAGAGAGUCAGGACACUCGUUUAACGUUCCAUCUGAAAGACGGCACCCUACACCAAUCACUGCCUUGGGGCAUUGGGAUAUUGUUUUAGACCAGAGGAAAGAGUGCCUCCUACUGGCCCUCCAACACCAUCUGGUCUCCCAUCCAGGAACUGAACAGUACCAACCCUGCUUAGCUUCAGAAGCAAGCCAGCAGUAGUAUGCAGGGUGGUAUGAUGGUAUGCAGCUGAUUUACAUAACUGAUUUACAUAACUCAGAGACCCAAGGAAUUUCCAGUUAGCCAUCCCUGAGACCCAGUGUGGUAACUCGUAUGUCUAAAGUUGAGUAAAGAAAUUGGGUACAGUGGGACUUAUUGUAAAAUAGCUUUAUGAAUGAAAACAUCUAUCAACCUACGUGGCAUAAAAGAGGGCUGACCAACUUUUUUUUUUUUGGAUGUCAUAAGGUGAAUGCACCAAUUUGUAAGUCGCUCUGGAUAAGAGCGUCUGCUAAAUGACUUAAAUGUAAAUGUAAAUGUAGAAUGCAGUGAUGAGUCCUACAAUUGUUGGCCAUAAUUAAUGUGCUACGACAAACUGCAUCUAACGGCUUUAGUGGCGUGGCCGCUGUGUCUCUAGUAUAGAGGAUGCUGCCAUAGUCUAGGGCUGAUAGGAACGUGGACUGAAUAAUCCGUUUUCUACUCCUUAAUGAGAGACAGCAACUUCUUCUAUCGAAGAAGCUCAUUUUUAUUCUCAGCUCCUUAACUAACUUGGCAAUGUGCUUUUUAAAAGACAGCUUUUCAUCUUUUCAGAUGCACAGACAUUUGUAAGCAGGGACAUGAUCAAUAUGGACACCAUCCAACAGUACACAUGCUUAGAUCAUGCGCUCUAGAGAACAACGUAUACUUAGUUUUACUGGUUACUGGUCUAGGCCAAUUGAGGAAAGACUCUGAAUUAGCAGUGAGCGAUCAACUGUAUCGAAAGCCCUUGACAGGUCAAUGAAGAGGUCAUCUCAAUAUUGCCUUUUACCCAUACAGUUAACCGCUAAAAUAUUUGAAUCCUUUAUUAAUUCUCAGCUCUGUCUUAUCUUUGAAAUGUAUUCUAAAUGUACACUACCGGUUAGAAGUUUUAGAACACCUACUCAUAUUUAUUUAUCUUGCUCCUUUGCACCCCAGUAUCUCUACUUGCACAUGUGUACAGUGCCUUGCGAAAGUAUUCGGCCCCCUUGAACUUUGCAACCUUUUGCCACAUUUCAGGCUUCAAACAUAAAGAUAUAAAACUGUAUUAUUUUGUGAAGAAUCAACAACAAGUGGGACACAAUCAUGAAGUGGAACGACAUUUAUUGGAUAUUUCAAACUUUUUUUAACAAAUCAAAAACUGAAAAAUUUGGCAAAAGGUCGCAAAGUUCAAGGGGGCCGAAUACUUUCGCAAGGCACAGUAUGUAUGUUUGUGUGUGUGUAUAUAUAUUUUAUUUUAUUUUAUUUUUUAUAUAUAUUCUGCACAUCUACCAUUCCAGUGUUUAAUUGCUAUAUUGUAAUUAUUUCGCCACCAUGGCCUAUUUAUUGCCUUUACCUCCCUUAUCCUACCCCAGUUGCACAUACUAUGUAUAGACUUUUUCUACUGUAUUAUUGACUGUAUGUUUGUUUAUUCCAUGUGUAACUCUGUGUUGUUGUAUGUGUCGAACUGCUUUGCUUUAUCUUGGCCAUCUCGCAAUUGCAAAUGAGAACUUGUUUUCAACUAGCCUACCUGGUUAAAUAAAGGUGGAGAAAAAAAAAUGAAAAAAUCUAGUUUAUUUUAUUUUAUUUGAACUAUUUUCUACAUUGUAGAAUAAUAGUGAAGACAUCAAAACUAUGAAAUAACACAUAUGGAACCAUAAAAUAUUUAAAUUUGAGAUUCUUCAAAUAGCCACCCUUUGCCUUGAUGACAGCUUUGCACACUUCUGGCAUUCUGUCAACCAGCUUCAUGAGGUAGUCACCUGGAAUGCAUUUCAAAUAACAGGUGUACCUUAUAAAAGUUACUUUGUGGAAUUUCUUUCCUUAAUGCAUUCAAGCCAAUCAGUUGUGUUGUGACAAGGUAGGGGGGUAUACAUAAGAUAGCCCUAUUUGGUAAAAGACCAAGUCUAUAUUAUGACAGGGACACCUCAAAUAAGAUAAGAGAAACGACAGUCCAUCAUUACUUUAAGACAUGAAGAUCAGUCUAUUCCCGGAAAAUGUCAAGAACUUUAAAAGUUUCUUCAAGUGCAGUCGCAAAAACCAUCAAGCUCUAUGAUGAAUCUGGCUCUCAUGAGGACUGCAACAGGAAAGGAAGACCCAGAGUUACCUCUGCUGCAGAGGAUAAGUUCAUUAGAGGUACCAGCCUCAUAAAUUGCAGCCCCAAUAAAUGCUUCACAGAGUUAAAGUAACAAACACAUCUCAACAUCAACUGUUCAGAGGAGACUGUGUGAAUCAGGCCUUAAUGGUCGAAUUGCUGCAAAGAAACCACUACUAAAGGACACUAAUAAUAAGAAGAGACUUGCCAAGAAACACAAGCAAUGGACAUUAGACUGGUGAAAAUGUGUCCUUUGGUUUGGAAUCCAAGUAUGAGAUUUUUGGUUCCAACCGGCGUGUCUUUGAGAGACACUGUGUGGGUGAAUGGAUGAUCUCAGCAUGUGUAUUCCCCACCGUGAAGCAUGGAAGAGGAGGUGUUAUGUUGUGGGGGUGCUUUGCUGGUGACACUGUGAUUUAUUUAGAAUUCAAGGCACACUUAACCAGCAUGGCUACCACAGCAUUCUGCAGCAAUACGCCAUUCCACCUGGUUUGGGCUUAGUCGGACUAUAAUUUGUUUUUCAACAGGACAAUGACCCGACACACCUCCAGGCUGUGUAAGGGCUAUUUUACAGAGAAGGAUGAUGGAGUGCUGCAUCAGAUGACCUGGCCUGCACAUUCCCCCCAAUCUCAACCAAAUUGAGAUGGUUUGGGAUAAUUCGGAUCGCAGAGUGAAGGACAAGAGGGCAACAAGUGCUCAGCAUUUGUGGGAACUCCUUCAAGACUGUAGGAAAAGCAUUCCAGGUGAAGCUGGUUGAAAGAAUGCCAUGAGUGUGCAAAUCUGUCAUCAAGGUAAAGGGUGGCUAUUUGAAGAAUCUCAAAUAUAUAAUAUAUUGAUUUGCUUAACACUUUUUGGUUACUACAUGAUUCCAUAUGUGUUAUUUCAUAGUUUUUGAUGUCUUCACUAUUAUUCUACAAUGUAGAAAAUUGUAAAAAUAAAGAAAACCCUUGAAUGAGUCGGUGUUCUAAAACCUUUGACUGGUAGUGUACAUCAGUCAGGUUUUAAACCAUCCCUAGUUAUAAAUGAUGCUAGUCUGUAGCUCAGUUGGUAGAGCAUGGCGCUUGUAACGCCAGGGUAGUGGGUUCGAUUCCCGGGACCACCCAUACGUAGAAUGUAUGCACACAUGACUGUAAGUCGCUUUGGAUAAAAGCGUCUGCUAAAUGGCAUAUAUUAUUAUUAUUAUUAUUAAUAUCUUUGAAAUGUAUUCUAAAUGUACAUCAGUCGGGUUUUAAAUCAGGUCAACCCUAGUUAUAAAUGAUGCUAGGCAAGAAAGUUUAGAAAUAGGCAGAUACUUAUUUAAGUCAAAAGGGUCACCUUCCAAACCUUGGGGAUAGUGCCAGAUAUAAUCAUCAGGUAUAGGUAUAUAAUCGUCAGCCUUAGUGGAUUUUUUGUUUUUACAUCAAUCUUAAGCAAGGCACAUCACAGAUAGUGAAUUGUUGGAAUGAAAACAAAUAUUCACUAGAAGUUGACAGGUUAAUCGUCGAGUCAGCUAGAGGCUGGCAGAGGGAAAAGCAGUCAAUUGACUGACCAGGGUCAAUUAAACAACUGUUUCUCUCAAAUAUUAAGCCUGCUGAGAUGAUACAAUUAUAAUUAAAAGCAUCACUUAUCCCAUUCUUCCCAGUUACGAUGCCAGAGUCAGACAGAACUUGCUGAGGCAGGGAAGAAGAAUAAUUGUUAUGCUUCAGUGCAUUUACUGUUUUUCCCAAAUUUUGAAGGAUCACCAGCCGAGUCAGAGAUGGAGCUUAUAAAAGGUAACUUGAUUUUGCUUUCUUAAUCACGAUAGUACAUCUGUCUCUGAAUUCUGAAAGUGUGCCAGUCCACCACUGGAGUCACUUUUCCUUGCUUUAGCCCAGGCCCGAUUUCUUAUCUGAAUUGAGUUCAGAUAGAUCUAACCUUUGGUUUUCUUCGGAGCUAUCUUUGACUCUAAAUGGUUUUUAAAGGGGGUGUCAGAGGAAUGCAUAUAGAGGAUACAUUUUCUAGAGCCAAUUCUGGGUCAGGAAUACAGGAGGCAGUGGCUAAAUCAGAGGAGAACAUGUUAUGCAAAACCCCUUUAGGGGAGAACUUCUUUUUUAAAAUCUUAAUUAAACAAUGAUUAGUAUUUUGCUGUUUCUGAUCUCUAAUGCAAUACUCCACUAGUCAAAUAUUAGUUAACGUUACCUUUAUGAAUUAUGAAGCCUUUGUGCUUUAUGUUUGUUUUGAUUCCAUAAAUGUUUCAAAAUGGACAAAAAGUGACGUUAGCUGAUGAAGAUUAUGUCAAAACGUACAAGAUCUCCCUAAGCCUGUGUUUACCACAGACCUUAUUUUCGGCAGUUAACCAGAAACCCUCCAAAAACUCCAUUCAUUUUCCCAUGGGCUUUGUCCAAUGAACCAUGAGUUGGUGCCUACAAAACGAUGCCAUUACUAUUGUUCUCUAUGGAGAGGAGUGUUGUGAUUGGUCUUGCUAUCCAAACCAGAUAUGAUUUCCUCUUCCAGUCAAAUUAAAUAUUUCCAGAUUGAGAAGUCCUUGAAAUCUUUUUUUGGAUAACACUACAGCUAGUAUACCAGUC